GAUCGGCGUACAGUACUGGAGACGUGUCCCCAAAACGGUGCCGAGGGAAGUAAGCCACAGCAACAGCAUCUAAAAAGGUGGAAAGCUGAAAAAUCACGCGUCGGGUGGAGUUUGGUAGGUCAUUUACUUGAUUCGAAGAAGUCAGGCCCG
This 150-nucleotide non-coding RNA is filed under the name unclassified sequences. Its description in RNAcentral is "RT-3 RNA". It matches the Rfam family "RT-3 RNA". The record is from Rfam by way of RNAcentral.